Serinus canaria (Common canary) is the source of this 3108-nucleotide long non-coding RNA. RefSeq lists it as uncharacterized. Lineage: Eukaryota; Metazoa; Chordata; Aves; Passeriformes; Fringillidae. The transcript is spliced from 7 exons. The record is from RefSeq and is a predicted model, not a curated record.
CGGCCCGGGGGCGUGAGGGGAGCGCGGGGCGGGCUCGGGGGGUGCGGGCGGCUCAGUCGGUCCGGGAGCUCUACAGGGUGUGCGGGAUGUCGCAGGGAUGUACGGGGGUAGUACAUGGCGUGCGGAGCGGGUCAGGCCGUGCGGAGGUGUACGGGGGUAGUACAGGGCGUGCGGAGCAGCUCAGGCUGUGCGGGGCCGGUGCAGGGUGUGCAGGAUGUCACAGGGGUAUAUGGGGGUAGUCCGUGACGUGCGAGGCGGCUUGGGGUGUGCGCGAUGUUACAGGGUGUACGGGGUAGUACGUGGCGUGCGGAGGUGGCGCAGGGCAGUGCUGGGACAGGGGACACCCGUCGCUGGCGGGAGGUUGGUGGCGGUGAGGGGAACAUGGCACGCAGCGCUGUGAGGGGCCAGGGCACUGCCGAGCCCUGCUCUGUUCCCGGGCAGCGCCGACACCCCGCGUACCGGGCUGGAAUGGCCUUCAGAGCACGGACCAUCCCGCCCCGCUGCUCUGGAACUGGCAGGGGUGACACCUGGCAGCUCCCUCCUGUCACAGCUGCCGUCACCUCCCGUGCGUGUGACAGCACCGGCCUCUCUCCCUGACUGCAGCCCGUGAGUCCCUGGGCCGGAGAAAGCCGAAAGCUUGGCCAUCCUGCAUCUUCUUCGAAGUACAAACAUACCCAGUCCAGACUCAGAAUGAGCUACAGCAACUGGAUAAAUCUACUGCGACCAUAAAGAAUUCAAGUGGUUAAUUUGAGUUAGAAGUCUCUCUGCAGGUGGAAUGCCUCCUGUCCCUCAAGUGGCUCAGCGGAUCAGCCAGGAGGAAAACCAACAGCAAAAUGGACCAAAUUUGUCAAAUCUGCUUGAUUCCUUCCCUGCUGCACACAGCAGGAACCCAGCUCUGCCCCAGCAGGUACAACCAGCAGGAUGGCAUAAGAACCAUGUGCUUGUGGUCCCAGCUCCAGUUCCCUCACAACAACAGCACACAGACUGGUCUCUAUUUGAUGUGACUGGGAUGGAAAACCAAAUCACUUGCUAUGAAGGACAAGUGCUGCCAAAACUGAAGGUAACUGGAAAGCUUAUUGAGGAGAUCUUCUGCUCCCCUUCGUCACCCAGACUUGAGCCAGUGAAGCUCCAACCAAACAGGGUUUUUUUGCAUAAGCUUUAUCUGAUCACAAUAGAUUCAGAGAAGAAUUUUGAAUUUAAUAUUCCAGAAGAAAGAGACAACUGAAGGAACACCUGGACAAAAUAUACUUCUGGAAUGAGUGUCAUUGUUCCAGAACCCCCCUGUAUGGCAGAGACCUGUUGGAAACUUGCCCUUGGAUCAGUGAAAGAAAAAUCUCUCAGCAUUGUUCUUCCAGGAUUAACAAGUGGUGCUGGGUUGGCUUUGCAAAAUGCCUUCCAUACUCCAGCACUUCAGAGGCUCUAAGGAUCCAUUGCAGGACCUCAUUCUGACACUGAAACAGCAGCAGAUUGCCCUGAAGCAUUAUUAUUGUUAUUGCCAGAGACAUGUGUGUGUUCCCAGCUGUAGCUAUUGCUCCUCCAUGUUUGUAUGGAGUAAAUCCUUCUUACACAAGGACCCAUGGAAUGAAACCCCUGCAGUUCAGGCUCGAGGAACAGAGAUGGUGCAGCCUGAUUCAGGAAUUCACAAAAAGCUUCAACCAAGACAAGUAAUCCUUCUGUGCUAUCCUGUCUUCCCACACUCCCUUUGCAGGUGUCAGUCACACAGAUGUGAUUCCUGUUGUCUUCUAUGACACUGGACACAAAGAUGGGAUGGUGUGACAAAAGUGCAAGAGGAGGAGAUACCCACACAUCCAGGCUUGUAAGUGGUAAUUCUACUGAAGAGAGGCUGUUUGAAAAGAGUAUUAAACAUAUGAUUCAAGAGCUGGCUGCUCAGGGAGAGGAUUGUUCAAUAGACUUUUUAUCCCAGGUACUGUAACAUUAAGAAUGUGAGCAGUUAUUUGAUGAUACAUAAAAAAUAAGUGUUUUAAUAGAUCUCAGACAGAAUUUUGUAAAGGUAGUGGUUUAUUUAUUUCUAGGCUUGUUUGGGAACCUGUGGUGUGUGUUCACAGUUCAAUUGAGUAGAAAUCCUGAACCGUCAGCUCAUAUAGAAAAUCAGACGGUAACAAUAUGAAAUAAAUAUUGAUGAUAUUGAUAAAUUGUAAUAAAGAUCUGCAUGUUCCAAUUAUAACGUUACCCUUUUAUUAACAUUGUUUUAAUCAAUCAAAAGCAACAUCUGCAGCAAAAUGUGUCAAACACAUCUGUAAUCUGACUUUUCUAAACUUGAUUUUAUGAUGACUAAAAAUUUUUGCGUUUUUUUCUUAAAGGUCUUGGAUCCUCUCAGUGAGGUGGUUAACUCUUGUAACAAUGUUUAUCACUCUCCAAAGCAAUGGCAAAAUUGCUUUGGAGAGUGAUAAAAAAUUGCAAUGCAAAAUUGUUACAUAAAAACCAUUACAGGUCUAGAGGGGAAGGAGAGUUUCAAUUCAAACUUGCUUUGCAUUGCAAGGACUUGGGGGCUUUUGGGGUCUUUAUUGUUGUUUUUUUUUUUUUUCCCUUUUUAAUUCCUCAUUGCUGUUAGAAUACUACAUGAGUGUUCACUAAGCAAAAACAUAACUAGAUUUUAGAAUUUUGAAUCAAAUCUGUGCUCGUGCUGAUGUAAAAGAAAAGUUUUAAGUGCGGCUCCAUCUGAUGUACCAGAAGUCCUUCCUCAUGUCCGGGUGGACCCUCCUGAGCAUCAGUGAGUGCCCGUUGUCUCUUUUCCUGUAACCUGGCACCACCGAGCAGAGCCGGCCGUGCUCCGCGCUCCCUGCAGACCCUGACAGACGGGGAUGGGGCCCCCUCUCAGCUCGAGGCUGAACAGCGCCGUCGGAGAUGCUCCAGCCCCUCCAUCACCGUUGUUCCCCGGCUGGCCCCGCUCCAGACGCUCCCAGUCUCUCCUGCCCUGGGGAGUCAAGCCCCGCCAGCUGCACGUGUGGCUUUUCACACCGUAUAUUGAAGAGUAGUGACAGCCCCGCUCCGUGCGCGGACAGAAACUGCCCUUUGCUCGGUGCUUCCCCCGCCCUGCCUCUGCUACAAUAAAUAUCAUUUUUCCGCGCUUUCGCCGAGCCCGUUCCU